This 74-nucleotide transfer RNA is filed under the name bacterium. RNAcentral describes it as "tRNA-Val". It matches the Rfam family "tRNA". Rfam says of the family: Transfer RNA (tRNA) molecules are approximately 80 nucleotides in length. Their secondary structure includes four short double-helical elements and three loops (D, anti-codon, and T loops). RNAcentral also lists the same sequence under 1 other name. The record is from RNAcentral.
GGGUGGUUAGCUCAGUUGGUUAGAGUACUUGCUUGACAUGCAAGAGGCCAUAGGUUCAAAUCCUAUACCACCCA